Long non-coding RNA from Canis lupus familiaris (dog), 8510 nucleotides. RefSeq lists it as uncharacterized. The record is from RefSeq and is a predicted model, not a curated record. The transcript is spliced from 5 exons. Lineage: Eukaryota; Metazoa; Chordata; Mammalia; Carnivora; Canidae.
CGGCGGAAGUCAGCCCGAAGCUGCGCUGGGAGCGGGGGUUGGGACGGCGGGGCGGGGAGAAGCCACAGAAGCCCCCUCCCGCGGGCGAGGCAGCGAGGCAGGCCUGCCGGGGGCUCCGGACGCCGCCUGUGUGAGAAGGGCGUUUACAGACCGGGCACCGGCCAAAGCGCCGCACGGCACAGACACGCUGGAAAGCCCUGACAGGUUCCAUCCACGACUCCAGAAGCAAUGGCAAGUCAGGCAGCAUCUGCUGCGGAGAGGCUGGCUCCUCCUCCUACUCACCUCAGGUAGCUGGAGUGCACGUUGCGACAGCCGCCAGCCUAAGGAGGGCCCUCCAGAUGACACCACCCGGUAGCUGGCACUGCGUCCCAGACCUCUGCGCUUUUCGAGUAAAUUGCUUCCACUGGAAAGGACAACCACCACCUGACACCUCUGGCCCUUCCACAGGCCUCUAGGGAAGCACCUUCCACUGAGCCAUUCUGAACCUGCUAUACUGGUGUCCCUUGGUGUGGUGGCAAAUAAAACAGGAGAAAUCGCAGGAGAAACCUCCCUCCCAUCCAGACCUUAACUCUAGGGGAGGACAACGCCCUCUGGCAUACACAGCCUACGCAGGUGUGACAGGUGUGGCCGCUUACAAAAUACCUUCUGGAAGCCACUGCUGGCUCUUAGAAGGGCUUGGGGGCACAGCAGAGGGGGAAAAGCAUAAACCCAGGAGCCAAAAGGUGGAAAAAAAGAGACUGAGCUGGAAUGUCUGAAAUAAAAGGAGGAACAGGCAGGGACAUGACAGAAAAGGAAAUUGGGAAGGUCAUCAAGGCCAGACCAUGGAUGACUGACUACCUUUCCAACUGUGCUAAGAAGUUCGAUUAUCAUCCACUAGAUGAUGGGAAGCCAUGCAAGUUACCAGUGAGGCAGGCUCAGAUACACACCCCAGACAAGCAGGAUGAAGAGCAGCCUGGAGGUGGGGGGCACAGGCAGCACAUGGCUGCCCCAGGCAAGGCCUGCCAUGAGGAUGGCCUACUUGGAGAAGUGUGUGAGGCCUCAGAAGCUGGGGUGUCCAGGACAGAUGCUCAUGCAUGUGUUGAGGGAACUUGGUAUCAGAGUGAGUAUCAGGAAUAAGGCACAGGACUGGGAAUGCUUUUUCUGCUGCGCCUUUGGGACACUAGGUUGAUGAUAAUGUUAGCCAUGGGGCUACAGAGGCCAAAAACAGAUCACAUUGUCUCAGAACAUGUAGUCAUGAAGAAAGAGAAACUUGGCAACAGAAAAUAUUAUCUUACACAUUUUAUAGAACAGGAUGUAAAUAAUACAGAGAAGACGGGCAAGGUUCUGUGAGCUGAAAUUAAUGAAGAGGGGUGGGGGAUGCAAGCCUCAGAACAAAAGAGAUCCCAGCAAAUAAUAUCAAAUGAUCACCAUAAGGAGUGCAUGGGGACAGACCUACACAGGUCAGUGAUCUGAUCACUUUGAGCAAAGAAAAAAGGUACAAAAUACCAAAACAAAAACCAGAAAAAGAAUACAGUAACAUGGAUUUGGCUUUAAAAAUCUGUUACUACAAAUCUAUUUUGGAGAGGUAUGAACAGUCCACUGUAGAUCGAAACCUCUGGAUGGUGAUCCAUGAGGGAAAGCCUCCACUCGGUAAACAAUACACUUCAGGUCAAGCACUUGAGAGAAAACCUUGGAACAAGGCAACAUUUUUAACAGGAGCCCAUCCCUUCUGGAGAAUGGGUUGAUGAGAUGUGGACCUUCAAAAACAGCAGCUUGGCCUUCCUGAAACCGAGGGAAAUGCUACAAGUGAUUUUGGUGUGUACAGGAGGUAAACAAGUACACUUAGUCCUAAGGUUUGAAGUCUAUGGAGUCCUUCCUUGGAAGGGUUCUAAAAGGUAAAGGAAAGAAAUGUUGCCUCUCCUUUCCCAAGGCCCUACACAACAUGAACCAUGAAACAAAUCAAUCUGUUGGCAGUAUGUGGACCAGCAGCUGGUGACCUCUUUUAUGCCAUUAAAGGAGGAGCUAGCCAUCACCUGGAAUAGAAGGUCUAGGUUCUAAACCUCUUCUUGGCUCUUCUCAGCGUUUCUAUGGCCCUUCUCACUCAACAGUUUAUGAAUAAGGCAUACUUGGUCAAAGUAACAGAUGUUGUGCUCCCGUGAGACAAAGGCAAAAGAGUUGGUGGUAUAUGCAAGAGUGAUUCUUUCUACUUUUUUUCCUUACACAAGAGGCUGAUAAAAUAAGGCAUCAUCACUGUUCAAGCUGGUUUCCUAGAAACUGUUCCUGCCUGUGGCACAUCUAUUGGUAGGGCUGGGGACGAAGAGAAACUUGACAGUGUUACUAACUCUUAGUAUACAAACAAGUCUGCAUGUUCGCUUUGGUCAAAGAAACGACCUGUGGCCAAAUUUUCUUUCCUGGACGGCUGUCAUACCCAUGUCAAUGAGCAGCUUACCCAAACCCAAUAUAAUAGGGCUGCUCUUUAUUGCCACUUCUGAAAUAUGCAAGGGGAUACACUUGAAAGAAAAAAAGAACAACAAAAAAAGAGUAAGCAGAGAACCUAAAAAAUCUGGGACACAAAGAGGGGCAUGAAAUUCUGACUCUUUCACACACACCUCCUCCUACCACUUUUCACCAUUUCUGGAGACUUCUUACAGAAAAUAUAACUUAGACCUAACAAAAAAACCUCUAGGUGGAAGUUUCUUCCUUUUUAUACUACUUCAUCUUUAUUACGAGGUUUUCUUCCUGGUAAUACACAUGCACUAAAGUCACAAUGAGAAACUAAAAUCACAACUUAGUUAUUCAUGUUAAAUACUCCCAGGUGUACAGAGCAACACUAGUUAAUGUAAAAAAAAAAAAAAAAAAGGUAACCAAAAACUGAUCAAUGCCACUCUGCCAUCAAGAGAAAUACAAUGUUUAAUUCUUUUGUUUCCUAAUUCUUCAAUUGGAAGGAGAGGUGAUCUUCCUAUGAAAACUGCAUCACAUGAUUAUCAAGCAGAAACCAAAACAACUACCCAAAAUGUAGCCUAACUAGUUUAUCUACUGUAUUGGGCUGACAGACACAGGUCUGGGGAUAAUAGUGUCCAGCACAGAUUUCUUAACGAUCACACUGAAAAGUUCCAUGAAAACGAGUUACAUCUGCUGAAAUGCCAUGCUAAGUAGUAUCAUUAUGAAGAAGGAGAUGGUUCAAACAAGCACUCAGAUAUUCAAGUGUGUUGGAAGGAAAGAAGGAAUGGUAUUUUUGACGAAGCAUCUGUUUGGUUUUCAACAGAGUCUUGACAUGAAAUAUUUACCUUAAGUAUGCUAGGAUUCUUCUCUCCCUAACAACUCAGCCCAAAAGUAGAAUUUCACGCUACCAUUCCAAAUCCUUCCCCAUAAAGGAUGGUAUUUUAGAGAUCCUUAAGAAUCCUCCUCCAGCUUAGACUUUAAUUUUGUAAUCUAAACUAUUUCCAAAUAUCUCAAAUAAUAGCUGGUAAAAUAGCAUCCCAAAUAGCAAGAGCAGCCAUUGUGAACAUGGUACAAAGUUUCUGACACCUUUGGGGCAAAAGCUGUGAAACAUGAAAGUAGAAAGAACCUUAACGUCCCAGUACACACCUUCCUAAAUCUUGCUCUGUGGUGAAUUAUCAAUCGUACUCUUGGGGAAGAUGAUCAAGGUUUAAGAGUGAAACACUCACCUGUCCUUGUAGUUUAUCACAGUAUCGAUGAUGGCGUUCAUCUGCUUCGUCAGUUUGGGGGGAUUUGGGGAUAGUUUCUCAGCUGGAGGGCGGCCUCUCCUCUUCUUGGCUUUUUCCACAUCUUCUUUUGCCGGAUCUUUAUCCACAUUUCUUCGUCUUUUUCGCUUCUUGAGCCGUACUUCCUCUUCCAUUUCUUCCAAAUUGCCGUCUUCAAUGGCCUGGUGUAGCAGGGAACGAAGGAAGAAAAUUCAAGACAAGAGAAUCACCAAGAAAAUUUUAAAAAGCCAACCUGAGUAGUAAGAAUAAAAUUAAACUAACAAAAAUCAAAUAAUAAAAAAAAAUAGAAGUUAACAGUAACCAGUCAAGUAAGAAGAAAGAGCAAAGACCGCCAUAUUGAAUCAAUGCAUCUUAAAACCAAGUCUAAUCCGUGAACAAAAUAUGUUGAAAGCCGGAAACACUAAUCGUGAGAAGAAAUGACGAGUACAAAAAGAGCUAUACAUUUAAGUGUCUGAAAGAUAACUGAAUCCAAAUGAAAUUUUAGCUCAAUGUAAGAAAAAGACCUUAAUUGUCUCAUUACUGUAAAGGGGGGGGGGGGGGGGGAGAACAGUAAAACAAAACAAAACAAGGGAUGGGUGAAGAAAAAAUCCCUCUAAGAAAACAUCCUUACAAUCAUAUAAGCUCUGACCCUUUUUUGAGGUUUUACAUCAAUUUACUCAUAAUUCACAACAUAAAUCAGAAUUCCAUCCAGAUUUUUGUUCUAACGUAGCAAUUAGUAAACAAGGAAACAGGAAGUACAAAGCCACAUUCCUUGGUAAACGCACUUAAAUCAUCUGAUAAAGAACACACACACUCACAAACAACAAACACUUUUUUCCAAUUACCUGCAAACGCUUGCUUUAAACCAGAGCCAGCAGCACUAAUGCAGAGAGAUAAUAAAAUAGCUAUAAAAACAACCAGGUAUAAAAGAAACCUGUUCGUAAAUGGCUAAAAGAUCCAUGUGACAGACCCAGAAGUUUAAACUUUUCUUCCCCCCACCCUGAUAAAUCUCAAAACUUAAGAAAAAUAAAAGAAAAACUGCAAUAAAAAAAUAGAUAAAAGAAAAUUUGACCAUGAAAAAGAAAAUUAAAAAAAAAAAACCUUUAAAUUACAUUUCAAGAUUGCUUUCUCACACAGAAUAACUGAUGUUGUUAUUUGUUCCUCCUGCCUCUCAAUAUUGCUUCCAGUAUGCAAAUGCUAAUCAAUCCUUUCUCGUAGCUGAAAGAGCCCUAAUCAUAAAGCAAUUACCUUCAUUUCUCCACAGCACCAAACAUGGCUAAUAUUUAUGAUCAUGUGAGUAUAACAAUCAAUAUAAAGAGUGAUUACAGCUCAGACAUAAUUUCUUUCACUUGUGUACAAUGCCUCCUGAAAAAGAAAGGUUUUAUGAAGAAAACCUGGUGCAGAACACAAAACAACCUGGCAUGUUAAAAAUGCUAGUGGGAUUAAAAGAAUGUUUUCUAUGCAUCCUCCAAUGUGCAAACCCAUAGAAGCAACAUGCACAGAGACAGAAUCCUAAGGGACAGUCUGAGGCUAGGCCUUAAUAAUCAAAAGACAAUUUCCAUCACGAUCCUACAGUGUUCAGAUAACCACUAUGAAGGAGGCGAGAUCUGAUGAGUUAUGAGGAAAAAAGAAAAAAGAAAAGGAAAAAAAAAAGCUCCACAUUAUUUCAUUAAUAUUCAUUUGCCUAAAAGCAGGACACCCACUAUACAGCUAAACACACUGCAGCUAAGCGAAGAUUAAGAAAAGGAAAUUGUCCCGCAAAUCUUGGAGACUGAACAUGCUAAUAAUAAAUACAGCAUGCAAGGCUGUCAACAGUUAAUGGUACUGCUCUCCUCAAGCACCCAGUUGCACACAGAAAUACGGAGAACACCGGCUUUUGAUGUGUUACACACCUACACAUGCCUGGGAUGUAGUUCUACUGAAUCUUCAAGACGGCAACGAAAAAGGAUAUUUACCUUACCACUAUCAGCAGGCCGGCUAUCGGAAAUCACAGUUAGUGGGGAUAAAAUUAACAAGCCAGCAAAGCAGCGAGCUGCUAGUCUCUUCAUCAGCUGAUCAGGAAAAAAAAGAGAGCUGGGGAAAGGCUAUGUUUUCAUAUACAAGUAAUUUUAUUUUACUGAAAAUUUAAUACUGAAAGGAUUGUGGAUACUCAAAUCUGCUGUUUCAUUCUACCUACUACAAGGCCCGAAGCCUUCCUCCUUCAGCCUGUUUUAAUAUUGACAACUACUUAUCAUAUUUUUCCCCCUUAUUAUUCCAGGCAGCAGAAUUAGAGAUUUUUAGCUCAGAUGGUUUCUGAUUCUUACUCUCAUUUUAACAAUUAAGCCAAUAAAAAAAAAACAAAUUAAUAUUCAAAUUUAUUUUAAAAAAUUAAAAACAAUUUAUGCUUUUUUUCUUUGGUAUUUUAAACCUCAUUUUAGUGCUUAAAAAAUAGACUGCAUGUUUUUGGAGCAAUCUAAGAGGAUUUUUUUUUAAUAAAAUAAUUUUUUUUCAUUAAAUACAUGUCAGUAAAAGCAAUGUGCAUGUUCUCAAUUUCAAACAUUUUAAUACAAUGUCAUUCUUUCUCCUUAAAGAAAAUCCCGAACAACUGUGACACUUCCCUUUCACUUUCCUGCUGUAAAAUUUUUCAUUGUUUUUCUUUUCAGUGGGAUACAUGAAGAGGGGGAAGUUGUGAAAAGGAUAGCUCUAAGCUCACCCCCCUCCCCUUAAUUUUGAAAAAAAACAAAACAAAAACGGAACAAAGCACAAGCUCGUGAUAUUUGGAUUUAUCAAUCUCUGAAUCUGGGAGUAGCUAAGAAGCGAAAACAAAUUGCAAAAAGAACUAGUGGAAACAAUGUUUAUGACAAUUGCUAAUACGUGCAGAUUCAUAUUAAAUUUAGGUUCUGGAAAUCACAAGGAAACACACAAAGUACUGACCAUUAUUCCCCUUAAAUUAAGGUUUUAUGCAGGAAUGCAGUCAGCUACAAAACAUCUUCCCUCCUCCCCAAAGACCCCAAACACAUCCAUAUGCAGUACUUUAUGUUCAGGGAUUUCUAAGGGUCUUUUUCUAAUGGAAAUCAAUUCACUAAAUAUUUCCCAGUGCUUUUCGCACUUAAAGAAGUAGAGUAAGCUUACUCCUGCAUGGAAGUAAAAAUUAUUCAUGGAAAUUUAAAACUGUUCUUUUAUUUAAAAAAUUAUUUAUUAAACUGGCUCAACUGACUCAACUCAGUGCUAGGUGGGGGGGGCCACCAAAAAAAAAAAAAAAAAAAAAACUUGCUACACAAUGCUAAAGUACUACCCCGAAAAGAAUGCCCUUCCAAACCUUUUACCAGCACAAUAAUGAAAUAAAUCACAGAAGCAAACCCCCAGUUUCCGACUGGUGACGUGUUGCGCAAGAGUGCGAGCCCUAAUUCAACAUACAGACGGCUCCCAUGCUGAACUGCCUCUAGAUUUAAUGAAGUGAAUAGGAAGGAAGUCGGGGGAAAAAAAGUGUACAAAUAAGAAAUUAACACUUUCCUUCCCUAUCCAAACGGUGAGAUACAACUACAGGGAAGUUUGGUGAGGCACUUCUUUCCUUAAAGGCACACGGCACCCAUUUGGCUCCGGAUGUCACUAAAAAAACCCUUCUGGUGAUAAAAAUCCCCAGCCAAGUUAAAAUAGUUAAGCAUAUUCCAGCCUGCGUUUUUCCUGAAUGAAGCUGGGAAUUACUCCUUCCUCCACUGGAUGGCAACCUUUUCUUCCCCCCCUUCUUUCGCUUUCUUUCUUUCGUUUCUUUCUUUCUUUCUUUCUUUUUUUUUUUUUUUUUUUUAAAGAAUACAUUUUCACAACACAGGAUGUACAAAAAUGAGAUCCAGCCUGGCUCCUUCUUCAAUUCGCUCCUAAGAAAGCAGCACCAGGUUCUGAUAACAAAACGCAGGAGCCGGCCGUGCAGGGAAAGCGGCUUUAGAGCAAACACUUUUGCAGCUUGCAAAAGCACAUGGCAGACCCGACCCGGGAAUCAGCCACACGUGGGUCUGGUCGUGCCCCUCUCUGUCAUCCUGACACACGCGGUGUCUUUUAGGGAAAGACGGACAGUGCAGGGAGUCGGUAUCAUCCUUGUUUUUAACCCUCGCUGUAACGGGGCGCUGGUGUACCUGACUUCACGGUACCACACGGCACAGCGGACUGGAUCCAUGGCUGUGAAUAGGAGAGGCUAAACCUCCCUCAAGCCCUGCUGAGACCCCCAGAUGCCAGUAAGACAUGCAGCGAUUCCCAACAUAACCAGACUACCAGCAGUAGCAGUGACAAAAAAGUGGAUUUUUAAAGAAACUUUAGGAUUUCAGGCACCUGGGUGGUGGCCACUGAAAUGGGCAGUGCUGGCUUUUAAGGUAAGUGACUGCAGCUGCUCUUUACCAAAUUCUCAGUACAGCGAGUUUCUCAGUUUCUUGUUCAACGACUUCAGAUUACUUUUGCAAAAAUGAACCAAGGUGUUCUCUUUCCCGCUAAUGGCAUCAGCAAGCUCCCUGAGGAAAUGUAGGGGAAGUAAGGGGGAAAGGUAAGCUUCCACAAUCCAGAUGAGGCAAAGCAAACCCUAUUUCAGGUAUAAGCAAUUUUGGGGUGGAAAGAGGGGGGAAAAAAGUAUAGGAAGUAUUAAAAUUAUUUAAGCCACAGGAUCAACUAAGCCUAUAGGGUACCUUUUGGGGAAUAUGAAGCCCCAGUACUCUGUUCAGAGCAUGACUUUUAGAUUUAGUAGAGGGUGACCCCAGAAACAUUCGGUCCUGUAGACCCUACCACAUUACCAACAUGAUGCACCAACACCUUUGUUCUCAGAAGCUAGGCAAGCACGAUGCUCCAGCUGAAUUUGUGAGCCAG